This 359-nucleotide long non-coding RNA is filed under the name Homo sapiens (human). Its description in RNAcentral is "non-protein coding lnc-FOXN3-8:2". Lineage: Eukaryota; Metazoa; Chordata; Mammalia; Primates; Hominidae. The record is from RNAcentral.
AUUAUGGAGCUCAGAGAAGUAGUCAGGGCUGACUCUUAGAAAUGGCAGCUCUCCUGUUUACCUGUAAUCAUUUCAGUUGGAAUUACAAAGCAGGUCAGCUGAAAAGAGUCAGCCUGUGAAGCAUUGUAUUUAACUUGGAUUCACCUGGAAAGAUAGAAGUGGAUUCUGUGAUGUCUUCAAUAAAUCCAAAUACUUCUGGUUUAUUGCAGUUUCUAAGUUGAGCUCACUGUGAUAGCCAGAUGCUAGACUCCUUCAUUUUCAAGAGGAUUUCUCUGUGUGCACUGACCCUGAAGCUUAGAACUGUGAACCACAAAAAACUAUACUUAAUGGAACUUUCAAGUAAAAAAUUUAUAUAGUUU